This 253-nucleotide ribosomal RNA is filed under the name uncultured bacterium. RNAcentral's name for it is "partial 16S ribosomal RNA". It matches the Rfam family "Bacterial small subunit ribosomal RNA", at positions 524 to 776 of the family's 1533-position model. The record is from RNAcentral.
UACAGAGGGGGCAAGCGUUAUUCGGAAUUAUUGGGCGUAAAGGGCGCGUAGGCGGCCUGGCAAGUGGAAGGUGAAAUCCCUCGGCUUAACCGAGGAACUGCCCUCCAAACUGCUUGGCUUGAGUCCGGGAGAGGUGAGUGGAAUUCCCAGUGUAGCGGUGAAAUGCGCAGAUAUCGGGAGGAACACCAGUGGCGAAGGCGGCACUCUGGGCCGGAACUGGCGCUGAGGAGCGAAAGCGUGGGUAGCAAACAGG